RNAcentral lists this ribosomal RNA (73 nucleotides) under Verrucomicrobiales bacterium. The record is from RNAcentral. Lineage: Bacteria; Pseudomonadati; Verrucomicrobiota; Verrucomicrobiia; Verrucomicrobiales.
UCUGGUGGCCUUAGCACGGCGGAACCACCCGGUCCCAUUCCGAACCCGGAAGUGAAACGCUGUAGCGCCGAUG